Merluccius polli (Benguela hake) is the source of this 77-nucleotide non-coding RNA. The record is from the annotation of a GenBank genome assembly. Lineage: Eukaryota; Metazoa; Chordata; Actinopteri; Gadiformes; Merlucciidae.
GGUCCUGUUUAGCUAAUUUGGUAGAGCAUGGCAUUAAUACUGCCCAGGUUUGGGGUUCAAUUCCCACUGGGCCACCA